AGGGGUAGUGUGUGUGUACUAUCUGCAGUCCCAGCAUAUGUGUGUGUGUGUGUGUGUGUGUGUGUGUGUGUGUGUGUGUGUGUGUGUGUGUGUGUGUAAUUUGCAGUCCCAUUGUGUAUAUGUGUGUGUGUGCGGGGGGUGAGCAUGUGUGUAAUGUAUUCUGCAGUUUAAGUGUCUGUGUGUGUGGGGUGGGGGGGACAGUCUGCGGUCCCAGUGUGUGUUUGUAAUUUGCAGUCAUGGUGUGGUGGGGCAGACUGCAGUCCCAGUGUGUGUGUGUAUGUACAGUCUGCAGUCCCAGUGUGUGUGCGGGGGCAUUUUAUUUAUAUAUCACACACACACACGCCCCCCAUCCUACCAAAUCCUGUGUUUGCCCUUGCAGUGGACGAUGAGGGUGCUGCUACAGGAGCUCGGAGUUGUUGCACUGCUGUUCGGGAUCUUUCUAUUCCUGUUUGAAAAAUGCGAACAUUUUUUUUUUGGAUAUGUGUUAGGAUUAACUAUUGCCUCCCCAGACCCAAGAUUGUGAUGAAGACCUGAAGAGGAUUGGCAUGACUAACAAAAAUGGGAAUCAUCAAGAAGAAACUACACACAGAGAAAUCCAGCAACAUAAUAUAGAAAUGAUAAAAACAGAUUACAGAAGACAGCCAUUACUGAACUGCAAUUUUAUUAGUAUGCAAGCUCAAAGGAACAGAACAAGAAUUAAUAAACAAAGACUAGGCAUUGCAAUAAAUAGGAUCCCCGAUACUAAGGAUCAAAGUCAAAGAAACUUGUCCAAGUCUUCUAAACAUUAAAAAAUAGAAACAGUAAAAAGAAACA
This is a long non-coding RNA of Pseudophryne corroboree (corroboree frog), 813 nucleotides long. RefSeq lists it as uncharacterized. Lineage: Eukaryota; Metazoa; Chordata; Amphibia; Anura; Myobatrachidae. The transcript has 3 exons. The record is from RefSeq and is a predicted model, not a curated record.